This is a long non-coding RNA of Lolium rigidum, 2645 nucleotides long. RefSeq lists it as uncharacterized. The transcript is spliced from 5 exons. The record is from RefSeq and is a predicted model, not a curated record. Lineage: Eukaryota; Viridiplantae; Streptophyta; Magnoliopsida; Poales; Poaceae.
AUAACCCAAAGGAUGAGAUGAGAAAUGUUAUGGGGUGGCAGAAAGAGAAAGAUGGGCUUGUGUAGCAUAUUGGUCAACCUGACAGUGGACAACAUUUCAUGGACAACAGAAUAGAAUAAAUCCUCCGGUUGCACAAUCACUUGAAGUUCGGCAGAGAAGGAUUUUGUACCUAGGAGAGCUUGCCUAGGCGUCGUACACAAAGGUGGAACCUGUUGGUGAUGCAACUGCGAAUGACGACGCGUACGACGCGAAGGAGCUCUGGGCUAGGACUGCCAUCUAGCAUGCUGACACCAACUCCGGUUAAGCCCUCCACCUUUCAUCGCCCGAUACCUUCAGUACUGCCGCACCGCCACACCACCACCUCCAGGACCUACUUCACCUCCCCAUCCUCUCAUAAGUGCUGUGGAGAAGGAAACUGUUACUAUUGUUUGAACAAAAUUUCAGGCCCUGACACUUAAUUGGAAUGCAUAAGUUGCUAUGUUCAUGCACUUUUGGUAAUCCUCCAAUUCUUCAAUCAAUCUUGAGUGCUAAAACCAUAAACUAUAGUUAAGAUUUUGAAAUGCUUUACUAAUGAUAACUUGAUGUGAAAUCAUUUUUACUUGAUUGGCAGACUAUCGUUUUCUCAUCUGAAAUCGGCCAUGGAUUUGCAAAUUAAUGAUAGAAUCUCAUGGCAUCAGUGUAUGCAAAAUCUGAAAGUGCAAUGCUGUCAUGUGCUUAAAUACUUCUAUUUCUGUUGGUACUUCCUCAAAUGAUUAACUAUGUUUUGUAUAUCCCCAUUUCAUAUAAUUUUGUCAAACUGGUGUUCUGCUAUGACCUUGGACAUGCUUUUAUUAUGGCAAUUGGAAUAUCUGCACUAAUUCUCCGUCCAAUGCCUGUGCAUCUGAUCUAGAUAUACUGUACAUCAGUAUAAUUUUGCAAGUAAUGCACUGAACGAACAGCACUCCCAUUUUUCAAAUGUGUCUUCCUUGAACAAAGAAUUACAGUAUCCCAAUAUAUGUCUUAUGUCUGAUUCACCCAGAGUUCUAUAUAACAUUGCACCGAUCGAUUGUAUUUGUUCUCCAUGUUUUCACCUCCUCCUAAAGCAGUUCCUGACUUCCUGUCUGUCUCUAUCUAUAGGUACUGUAAUGUUAUUUUUUUUCCUGUUAACAGAACAAGAAAAGGACUUGACCAGAUUUUUUUGAAGCCACUCAGAAGGAUAAGCAUGAGGGCAGUACUCAUAGACUGGCUUGUGAAAGUAGGCAUAUCUACUUUGAAAAGUUCUAGAAGCUAAGCGUGCAAAAACGAUUCUUCUAACCAAUUGCCUUCUUGUCUUUUAUCAAUCGGGACAUAGAAGAAUAUCUCCAUCAGGUCACAUACGAAUAUUGUCUUGUUCCUAGAACCUUAUACAUUAGUCAAUUACACUGACCCAUGCCUGACUCGCAAAGAGAUCAAUUGACAAGAGUACAGUUGGCGUCACCUGCUUGCUUAUAGCUGUGCAAGAACCAUUGAGUUCAUUUUUAGCUCUUACUUUAUAUUAAAGUUCCUAUUUCUUGGUUUCUGAUAUGCUGUAAAGAUGAUUAUAUAGAUAAGUAGCUAAUGUCAAGCAUCUAAACAUGAAUAUGCAGCUCUGCACUAAAGUGUAUCCUCUAUAAAAAUGUAUGUGCAGGCUUCAAGACUUAAAACCAAUGUAUAAGAUGGCAAAAUGUUUUUUGCUCUGAUCACUUUAUGGUAACACAUAAAUUGGUAUUCUAGAUUUGUAUCUAGAAUUCUAGAUCACAGUGUAACAAUAAUUUCGAAUAUAUAUAUGUUAUUCUAACAUCACUAGGUUUCAUAAUUAGCUAACUAUAGUUCAGUAAGAUUAUAGGGUAUACUUGAAAUGGAACAAUUUGUCGUUUUAUGUGUGCUAUAGGGAAAUCAUGCAGCGUCUAACUUUUCUAUCAAGAUACACACUUCUAUUUGGAUUCGGUGAUACACUCCUAUUUGUGUUUCUAACCAAAACACAGGCACUCAUUUGUUGUCCCAGUCUUUAGAAUAGGUAGCUGAAUGUUUGUCAUAAGUUCAUCUUAGUUGCUCAUGUUCAGAUACACAUCAGCUUUCCAUUAUUAUUUUUCAGCUCAUCUUCCACCAGCUCAGUGAUGUAGAUAGUACAGUAAUGCAUUGUCUGAUACAGGGGUAUCGUCGAGGAGUACUGGGAUUUACCAUUGGCAAUGAAAGUGGUUUCUUUAUUGCAGCUGAAGCGACUUUCCAGUGCUCUCCAUGCUGAAGCACAAGCCAUGCUACAUGCAGUGAUUAUCGAUUCUCCGAUGGGCUGUCAAAGUGUCAUAUUUGAAACCGAUUCGGUGGUGUUUAACAGGUUAUCGCUUCUGUAGAUUAUGAGUUUCCUUUCUAGGAGCCAUCUUUAGAGACAUUAAGUUUCAUUUGCAUCUUGGUUUCAAUGAUAUUCUACUCGCUUUAGUUGUAGAUGGUGUACUUAUGUAAACUAGCCAUUAUGAAAACUUGGCUUCUCCAGUUUCCGGAAUUCCUAAAAUACGAUGUAGCUGGCUAGAAAGAAUGUGGAGGUGUUCCUUUAAAAAUACAACGCAAUUGCUCUAUUUGUACCAAAAAGAAUGUGGAUUUGGUUAACAAUGGCAUUUGUGCACCUUCAUAUUCACUCCAAUGUCCACAAU